This 253-nucleotide ribosomal RNA is filed under the name uncultured bacterium. RNAcentral describes it as "partial 16S ribosomal RNA". It matches the Rfam family "Bacterial small subunit ribosomal RNA", at positions 524 to 776 of the family's 1533-position model. The record is from RNAcentral.
UACGAAGGGGGCUAGCGUUGUUCGGAAUUACUGGGCGUAAAGGGUUUGUAGGUGGCCCGCUAAGUCACACGUGAAAUCCCUCAGCUUAACUGGGGAACUGCGUGUGAGACUGGCAGGCUCGAGGGCAGGAGAGGAACGCGGAAUUCCAGGUGUAGCGGUGAAAUGCGUAGAUAUCUGGAGGAACACCGGUGGCGAAGGCGGCGUUCUGGACUGUCUCUGACACUGAAGAACGAAAGCCAGGGGAGCAAACGGG